GACGAACCGUCCAAACGUUAUUCGGAAUCACUGGGCUUAAAGGGUGCGUAGGCGGCUCAGAAAGUAGGGUGUGAAAGCCCUCGGCUCAACCGAGGAAUUGCGCCCUAAACUACUGGGCUCGAGGAAGGCAGAGGUAAGCGGAACUUAGGGUGGAGCGGUGAAAUGCGUUGAUAUCCUAAGGAACACCAGGAGCGAAGGCGGCUUACUGGGCCUUUUCUGACGCUGAGGCACGAAAGCUAGGGGAGCGAACGGG
RNAcentral lists this ribosomal RNA (253 nucleotides) under uncultured bacterium. Its description in RNAcentral is "partial 16S ribosomal RNA". It matches the Rfam family "Bacterial small subunit ribosomal RNA", at positions 524 to 776 of the family's 1533-position model. The record is from RNAcentral.